This 69-nucleotide transfer RNA is filed under the name pig gut metagenome. It matches the Rfam family "tRNA". From Rfam's summary of the family: Transfer RNA (tRNA) molecules are approximately 80 nucleotides in length. The record is from RNAcentral.
GGGAAAUAGUUCAAUGGUAGAACAGCGGUCUCCAAAACCGUUGAUCUGGGUUCGACUCCUUGUUUCCCC